Molecule: transfer RNA, 87 nt
Filed under: Candidatus Sungiibacteriota bacterium
Lineage: Bacteria; Candidatus Sungiibacteriota
Description: tRNA-Ser
Rfam family: tRNA
About the family: Transfer RNA (tRNA) molecules are approximately 80 nucleotides in length. Their secondary structure includes four short double-helical elements and three loops (D, anti-codon, and T loops). Further hydrogen bonds mediate the characteristic L-shaped molecular structure. tRNAs have two regions of fundamental functional importance: the anti-codon, which is responsible for specific mRNA codon recognition, and the 3' end, to which the tRNAs corresponding amino acid is attached (by aminoacyl-tRNA synthetases). tRNAs cope with the degeneracy of the genetic code in two manners: having more than one tRNA (with a specific anti-codon) for a particular amino acid; and 'wobble' base-pairing, i.e. permitting non-standard base-pairing at the 3rd anti-codon position.
Source: RNAcentral
GGAAGCGUGCCAGAGCGGUUGAAUGGGCCUGUCUUGAAAACAGGUAUACCCGAAAGGGUAUCGGAGGUUCGAAUCCUCCCGCUUCCG